AAAUGCAGUCCUUGAAUAAUGUAGUAGCCUCUGGGUUAAGACUUUUUCAGUAAGCUCUCAGCUAACAGAAAUUGACCUCAAGGUUUGUUACAUUCAGAACAGCUUAUCAAUCAGUUUGAGCUGUUUAACCAUCCAGUGUUUACCAUUGACAUGUAGACUACUUUAGUACAUCAUUGGAAAGGGAGACUGCAUGAGUUAAAUUUCAAACAAGUUAGUUUUUGAGCCCUGCACAUCUGCUUUUUCCAUACUUUACUAUGUUGCAUUCACAGCAAUUCUAAUAGAAUAGCUAAGACAUUCUUGCAGAGUUCAGCAUUUGACAGCUUAAUCCUACUCCUUAGGUAAAAGAUUUCCAUCUGGUCUCCUGUAUUGUAGAAAAGGUGAUGUGUGUGCUUGGGAGAAACAACAUGGUCUUCAUGGGGAAAAAAAAAAA
Long non-coding RNA from Oxyura jamaicensis (ruddy duck), 430 nucleotides. RefSeq lists it as uncharacterized. Lineage: Eukaryota; Metazoa; Chordata; Aves; Anseriformes; Anatidae. The record is from RefSeq and is a predicted model, not a curated record. The transcript is spliced from 2 exons.